Acyrthosiphon pisum (pea aphid) is the source of this 168-nucleotide long non-coding RNA. RefSeq lists it as uncharacterized. The transcript is spliced from 3 exons. The record is from RefSeq and is a predicted model, not a curated record. NCBI's taxonomy places the organism in Eukaryota, Metazoa, Arthropoda, Insecta, Hemiptera, Aphididae.
AAACAGAUAAAUUUAUAAAAAUACAAACAGAAUUUUCAAUUUUGAUAUCCAGAAUGCACCACCUAGAUUCAUUUUCCCAUUGAACAAGAUUCUAUUGAUGGAAGUCGAAGCAAUUUUACUGCCCCAAACGCAAAAAAAGAUGAAAAGAUAAUUAAUAUAGAAUAUGGU